This 301-nucleotide ribosomal RNA is filed under the name uncultured bacterium. RNAcentral's name for it is "partial 16S ribosomal RNA". It matches the Rfam family "Bacterial small subunit ribosomal RNA", at positions 509 to 807 of the family's 1533-position model. The record is from RNAcentral.
CAGUAGCCGCGGGAAUACGAAGGGGGCUAGCGUUGUUCGGAUUUACUGGGCGUAAAGCGCACGCAGGCGGACUUUUAAGUCAGGGGUGAAAUCCCGGGGCUCAACCCCGGAACUGCCUUUGAUACUGGGAGUCUUGAGUUCGUGAGAGGUGAGUGGAAUUGCGAGUGUAGAGGUGAAAUUCGUAGAUAUUCGCAGGAACACCAGUGGCGAAGGCGGCUCACUGGCUCGAUACUGACGCUGAGGUGCGAAAGCGUGGGGAGCAAACAGGAUUAGAUACCCCCGUAGUCCCUGUCUCUUAUAC